CAAAAUUUCCUUAAAAUUACCAAUUCAGGGGCAGCAACCCAACAACGGGUCGUCUGAUUCAUCUGAAAAUUUCAGGGCAGAUAGAUCUUGACCUGAUAAACAUUAUUACCCCAUGUCAGAUUUGCUCUAAAUGCUUUGGUUUUUGAGUUAUAAGCCAAAAACUGCAUUUGACCCCUAUGUUCUAUUUUUAGCAAUGGCGACCAUGUUUGUUGAUAGAUCAAAACUUCGGAUACAAUUUAUAAAUUAGAUACCCUAAGGAACAUUCAGUUAAAGUUUGAAAGUAUUUGGCCCAGUAGUUUCAGAGGAGAAGAUUCUUGAAAUAGUUUACGACGACAGACGACAGACGACGACAGACGACGACAGACGACGGACGCCAAGUGAUGGCAUAAGCUCACUUGUCCCUUCGGGACAGGUGAGCUAAAAA
This 424-nucleotide long non-coding RNA is filed under the name Mytilus galloprovincialis (Mediterranean mussel). Lineage: Eukaryota; Metazoa; Mollusca; Bivalvia; Mytilida; Mytilidae. The record is from RNAcentral.